AUUGAACGCUGGCGGCAGGCCUAACACAUGCCAGUCGAACGGUAACAGGAAGCAGCUUGCUGCUUCGCUGACGAGUGGCGGACGGGUGAGUAAUGUCUGGGAAGCUGCCUGAUGGAGGGGGAUAACUACUGGAAACGGUAGCUAAUACCGCAUAAUGUCGCAAGACCAAAGAGGGGGACCUUCGGGCCUCUUGCCAUCGGAUGUGCCCAGAUGGGAUUAGCUUGUUGGUGGGGUAACGGCUCACCAAGGCGACGAUCCCUAGCUGGUCUGAGAGGAUGACCAGCCACACUGGAACUGAGACACGGUCCAGACUCCUACGGGAGGCAGCAGUGGGGAAUAUUGCACAAUGGGCGCAAGCUUGAUGCAGCCAUGCCGCGUGUAUGAAGAAGGCCUUCGGGUUGUAAAGUACUUUCAGCGGGGAGGAAGGGAGUAAAGUUAAUACCUUUGCUCAUUGACGUUACCCGCAGAAGAAGCACCGGCUAACUCCGUG
RNAcentral lists this ribosomal RNA (490 nucleotides) under uncultured bacterium. RNAcentral describes it as "partial 16S ribosomal RNA". It matches the Rfam family "Bacterial small subunit ribosomal RNA", at positions 30 to 507 of the family's 1533-position model. The record is from RNAcentral.